This 253-nucleotide ribosomal RNA is filed under the name uncultured bacterium. RNAcentral describes it as "partial 16S ribosomal RNA". It matches the Rfam family "Bacterial small subunit ribosomal RNA", at positions 524 to 776 of the family's 1533-position model. The record is from RNAcentral.
UACGUAGGGUGCAAGCGUUAAUCGGAAUUACUGGGCGUAAAGCGUGCGCAGGCGGUUUUGUAAGUCUGGCGUGAAAUCCCCGGGCUCAACCUGGGAAUUGCGAUGGAGACUGCAAGGCUAGAGUCUGGCAGAGGGGGGUAGAAUUCCACGUGUAGCAGUGAAAUGCGUAGAGAUGUGGAGGAACACCGAUGGCGAAGGCAGCCCCCUGGGUCAAGAUUGACGCUCAUGCACGAAAGCGUGGGGAGCAAACAGG